UCGCAAAUAGAACAAAAAUCA
RNAcentral lists this non-coding RNA (21 nucleotides) under Caenorhabditis elegans. The record is from RNAcentral. Lineage: Eukaryota; Metazoa; Nematoda; Chromadorea; Rhabditida; Rhabditidae.